GUGGGGAAUAUUGCACAAUGGGGGAAACCCUGAUGCAGCGACGCCGCGUGAGUGAAGAAGUAUUUCGGUAUGUAAAGCUCUAUCAGCAGGGAAGAAAAUGACGGUACCUGACUAAGAAGCCCCGGCUAACUACGUGCCAGCAGCCGCGGUAAUACGUAGGGGGCAAGCGUUAUCCGGAUUUACUGGGUGUAAAGGGAGCGUAGGUGGCAUGGUAAGCCAGAAGUGAAAACCCAGGGCUCAACUCUGCGGAUUGCUUUUGGAACUAUCAAGCUAGAGUGCUGGAGGGGUAAGCGGAAUUCCUAGUGUAGCGGUGAAAUGCGUAGAUAUUAGGAGGAACACCGGUGGCGAAGGCGGCUUACUGGACAGAAACUGACACUGAGGCUCGAAAGCGUGGGGAGCAAACAGGAUUAGAAACCCCAGUAGUCC
Molecule: ribosomal RNA, 426 nt
Filed under: uncultured bacterium
Lineage: Bacteria
Description: bacterial SSU rRNA
Rfam family: Bacterial small subunit ribosomal RNA
Source: RNAcentral